This 628-nucleotide ribosomal RNA is filed under the name Gammarus lacustris. RNAcentral describes it as "partial 16S ribosomal RNA". The stretch from base 340 to 628 matches the Rfam family "Bacterial large subunit ribosomal RNA", at positions 2046 to 2585 of the family's 2925-position model. The record is from RNAcentral. Lineage: Eukaryota; Metazoa; Arthropoda; Malacostraca; Amphipoda; Gammaridae.
AAAGAGUAAGAAACUUUAGUGUGUGUACCUUUUGUAUCAGGGGAAGUUAAAAGUGCAAGUAAUAAAGGAUCGAUUUAAGCAGAGCUUCGUAUAAAAUAGCUAUAGUUAAAUUUAUAGCUUUAAUAGAUUAUGUGGUGAAAAAUGUACGGUGCUUAUGGUAGCUAUUUGUUUUUUUAUUGAAGGGUAAGCUUUCAUUGACUUAAUUGUGUAAAAGGUAUAGGGAAUUAGGCUUGGUAUUUUGACUGUGCUAAGGUAGCAUAAUCAUUUGCUACUUAAUUGGUAGCUGGAAUGAAAGGUUAAACUAGCUUACUCAGUUUGUUGUGUUUUGUAAGAAAUUAAAGUCGAGGUAAGAAUUCUUUGAUCUGCUAGGGGACGAUAAGACCCUAGAAGCUUAACAAUAAGAGUAUCUAUUAGUUAUAAAAAUUAAUUUGUUUUACUGGGGCGGUAAAGGUAUAUGAACUAUUAGCGUAUCGAUAGAUCCUUAAAAUAAAGAUAAAACGGGAAAGUUACUCUAGGGGUAACAGUGCAAUAUUUUUGGAGAGAUCAUAUCGAUAAAAAUGUUUGCAACCUCGAUGUUGAAUUAAGAUGUCUACGUGAAGCAGCAGGUACGUGAGAGGGUUUGUUCAAC